CUCGGGCCUCACCUCACCCGAGCCCUCGGGCGCCUAUUUAAACCCUUGGAUAGAGCUGCAACAACAUUUCUAAUGACAAUGAAUUAGGACCUUCAAUUGAUGGUGAAUUUCUAAGACCAAAGGCUCGAGUGACGUAAACUUUCUUUCUGCUCACUAGGGUAAGAUGAUCUUCUUGAGAACCUAAAUUGGAAGGAGCUCUGUGCACUGAACCACACUAUUAGAAGAUGAACCUUAGUAUCAUGAUAAGGUUGUUUCUUUGCAAUUUAGAUUUAUAUUGAUCCUCCACAGUCCCUGUAUUAGCCGGAGCCUUACGUAUUGGGUUGCACAUUUCAUUUUUUUUAUGCACUUAAGCUUCAUCUGACAUAGUUAUGGAUCCUUCGUGAUUGCCCAUGAUGGACAGUGAUCAUAAGGGACUACCUUUAAUUUGCUGAUUCCAUAUUAUCAGGUUCUAGAUAUGAAGGUGGG
RNAcentral lists this long non-coding RNA (465 nucleotides) under Musa acuminata (dwarf banana). RNAcentral describes it as "long non-coding RNA (MACU_LNC011835)". The record is from RNAcentral. Lineage: Eukaryota; Viridiplantae; Streptophyta; Magnoliopsida; Zingiberales; Musaceae.